CACCACCAGCAAAGAGCAAAACAUCUCUGUAUUUUCUGUUUUUAUAGAUGUUUGUGUGUAUGAAGGCUCAAGACUGUGUGUAACUGACUCUCUGUGUUGUAGGAGCUCCAAGUGAACUGGCUGGGGUGACAGGGCCACUCUACACCACAGAGUAGAUUCAUUCUAACAGCGAGAGAUCAGUGUGGAUCUGUUACAGGCUAAAAGUGGAAAGUAGUGUGGAGUUACACACCACGUCCAAGUCACAGUCUGUUCCCAGCUGCUGCUACUCCAUUUCUCUGGCCCACAAUGCAGUGCUGCAGGCGUCCUCAAUCACUGAGGCAUAUGAUGUGAGUGGACACCACUCAGGCAGAGAAACAGCCCUCAAAGUGUCUGCCUUGUACUCCUCCGUACUACAACCACUAUACACUCAACCACAGCCUACCUGCUCCUAUGAGUGUCAGUAUUGCUAAAUAAAUUCACUCAGACCUGACUGUUCCCCUCACUUCUUCACAAAAGCUAAAACACACACCCAUCCCACUUGACAACAUAAGAAUACUCAACCUUGCUCCUCGCACUCUUGUCGUAAAAUGUUCCUCACUAGUGCAGCAAAGCCAGUAACUUGUUUUUUUGUCCCACCUGGACUGUUCCCCUCACACUCCAAAUUUCAGUAUUAGUACAUGAUUGAUAUAUUUAUCAUAACAACAUAAUUGCCACUGUUCCUUUUGUCAGCAGUGUACUUGAUUGCCUAACACAUGGGUCUACAUCUGUAACAAAAUUUAGAAACAAGCAUGCCACACUUCAGCUGUACUGAGGAAGCACAAAAUAAGUCACACGUGAGAUAUAUUUAUGUUAAUAAGUUAGAUGUGGUUAUAAAGUUUGAGGGCACAAGGUUCACUCAAAAAGGUGUGUAAACCCUGGACAACAACAAUAACACGUGAUCAAGUCAUAUUUAAAGGAAUAAUUCACACAGAAAUGAAAAUCAUUUAUCAUCACGCUCAUGUCGUUUCAAAUCUGUACGACCCUCAUUGUUACCAGGAACAAAAAGGAGAAAUUUGGGAGAUAGUGAAUAAGGACUGGGGACAAAAAGUGAACAAAAGCACCAUAAAAGUGGUUCUUUUGGAAUUCAACUCUUAUUGCAUUGUGAGUGAAUUAGCUCUAGUCCAAAUCUAGCUCAAGUCAAAUGAACCACUUUUGUGGUGGUUUUGCAUCCUUUUUGAAGCUUGAAAUCUCCUGUCUUCCCAUCCUCUUUCAUUGUAAUGGCAUGGAAAACAACUUAAAAUCUGUAAAAUUUCUCCUUUUGUGUUCCACAGAAGAAAAAAAGGUCAUAUAGGUUUUAAAGAAAUGUGGCUGAGUAAAUACUGAGAGUAUUGUCAUUUUUGAGUGAACUUUCCUUUAAAGACACAGGCUCAUGCACGCAGACACAGCACACAAUUCUUUUGUUUUUGUGCCCACACCACACAGUUCUUAAAGAGACAGCACUGAUGUUUUGAGGCAUUUAGUCACUGUCACUUUAAGAGCAGGCCGUUUGCAAAGAUCCUCACCCUGUUUUUGUUUACCUGGGCCUUCAGAUACUGUUACCUCUACCCGCGAAUCUAGCUUAGCCUCCUUACGGUCCGUCGCCAUGGUUACGACGGGCUUUGUCUGCAGCAAGGGUAGAGGGGGGAUAAGUGUGAACACAAAGUGGGAGGAAGCCUCGGGAGCAGUUUCUCUGCUUUCCUCUACUCGAACGCACAAAUCUCCAGGGUGAAUUAGAGGAACAUGCCCCCAAACCGAGGUCAGCAGUGGGAACCUCUGAGGCUGUUUCCUGUCUUAAAAAUGGACAUUAUAGCUUUUAAAUGGCAGGCCCAAAAAUGUAAAAUUCAAAGAGGAGUAAAGUAGCUUGUGUGUCUAGCUGUAAAUGUUGUGUAUUUAAAGAACAUUUCUCCUUGUUUCUUUACGCUGUUUUUUAUGUGCUAA
Molecule: long non-coding RNA, 1935 nt
Organism: Cyprinus carpio carpio
Lineage: Eukaryota; Metazoa; Chordata; Actinopteri; Cypriniformes; Cyprinidae
Source: Ensembl